AUGAAAAGCACUUUGAAAAGAGGGUGAAAAGAACCUGAAACCGUCACGGGGGAAGCGGAUUGCGUUGGCCUGGUGGGCGCCUGUGUGUUCAGCCCUUUGGGUGCAUUGGCACAGGUGCUUAUCCGUCGUGGGUUUUCGAGAGUCGAAUUUGGGCUCUCGGGGGCUGAGGGCUCCCUUCGGGUGAGGACGGCGGAGUGACGACGCGAUACGACCCGUCUUGAAACACGGACCAAGGAGUCUAGCGCGAUUGCGAGUCGGAGGGUGCAAGCCCGUGGGCGUAGUGAAAGCGAGUGUAAAAACGAGCAGUUUGAGGCGGCAUAAGAUCGUUGAUCUUAAGACUGACCUAGAGCAGUUGCGCUGGGACCCGAAAGAUGGUGAACUAUGCCGGAGUAGGGCAAAGCCAGAGGAAACUCUGGUGGAGGCUCGUAGCGGUGCUGACGUGCAAAUCGCUCGUCCAACUUGGGUAUAGGGGCGAAAGACUAAUCGAACCAUCUAGUAGCUGGUUCCCUCCGAAGUUUCUCUCAGGAUAGCGGGCCGACAAGUUGUUUUGUGC
This 553-nucleotide ribosomal RNA is filed under the name Antrocentrum nigrescens. Its description in RNAcentral is "partial 28S ribosomal RNA". It matches the Rfam family "Eukaryotic large subunit ribosomal RNA", at positions 364 to 1006 of the family's 3401-position model. Lineage: Eukaryota; Rhodophyta; Florideophyceae; Gigartinales; Acrotylaceae. The record is from RNAcentral.